This 468-nucleotide ribosomal RNA is filed under the name uncultured bacterium. RNAcentral's name for it is "bacterial SSU rRNA". It matches the Rfam family "Bacterial small subunit ribosomal RNA", at positions 28 to 468 of the family's 1533-position model. The record is from RNAcentral.
GACGAACGCUGGCGGCGUGCUUAACACAUGCAAGUCGAACGAGAGGAGAAGGAAGCUUGCUUCUUUCGAAUCUAGUGGCAAACGGGUGAGUAACACGUAAACAACCUGCCUUCAGGAUGGGGACAACAGACGGAAACGACUGCUAAUACCGAAUACGUUCCUUAGGUCGCAUGACUUUAGGAAGAAAGGGUGGCCUCUACUUGUAAGCUAUCGCCUGAAGAGGGGUUUGCGUCUGAUUAGGUAGUUGGUGAGGUAACGGCCCACCAAGCCGACGAUCAGUAGCCGGUCUGAGAGGAUGAACGGCCACACUGGAACUGAGACACGGUCCAGACUCCUACGGGAGGCAGCAGUGGGGAAUCUUCCGCAAUGGGCGAAAGUCUGACGGAGCAACGCCGCGUGAACGAUGACGGCCUCGGUUGUAAGGUUACUGUUAUUACGGACGGAAUGGCGUAGCGGUCGAAUACCGUU